UCGCACCUACCGAUUGGAUGGUCCGGUGAGAAUUUCGGAUUGUCUUGUUGUCGCUUUUAUUAGGGAUCAUGAGACGAGAAGUUAUUCAAACCUUACCAUCUAGAGGAAGGUG
This 112-nucleotide ribosomal RNA is filed under the name uncultured eukaryote. Its description in RNAcentral is "partial small subunit ribosomal RNA". It matches the Rfam family "Eukaryotic small subunit ribosomal RNA", at positions 1676 to 1785 of the family's 1831-position model. The record is from RNAcentral.